This 505-nucleotide ribosomal RNA is filed under the name Phelsuma serraticauda. Its description in RNAcentral is "partial 16S ribosomal RNA". It matches the Rfam family "Bacterial large subunit ribosomal RNA", at positions 1852 to 2588 of the family's 2925-position model. Lineage: Eukaryota; Metazoa; Chordata; Lepidosauria; Squamata; Gekkonidae. The record is from RNAcentral.
GUCCAGCCUGCCCAGUGAACUUGUUUUCAACGGCCGCGGUAUCCUAACCGUGCAAAGGUAGCAUAAUCACUUGUCCUCUAAAUAGGGACUUGUAUGAACGGCUUAAUGAGGGCCUAACUGUCUCCUGUAGCCAAUCAAUGAAACUGAUCUCACAGUACAAACGCUGUGAUACACCUAUAAGACGAAAAGACCCUGUGGAGCUUUAAAUUCUAACAUUAAUUAUAAUCACUUAACACUCACUAUAAUAUAAUGUAAAUUUUAAGUUGGGGCGACUACGGAGUAAAAAAGAACCUCCAUACAACACGACUAAACCUCGUUACAUUAGGCCAACAAGCCACAACAAAACAAAAGACCCAGUCAAACUGAUCAUUGAACCAAGUUACCCCAGGGAUAACAGCGCCAUCCCCUUAAAGAGUCCACAUCGCUAAGGGGGUUUACGACCUCGAUGUUGGAUCAGGACAUCCAAGUGGUGCAGCCGCUACUAAGGGUUCGUUUGUUCAACGAG